This 253-nucleotide ribosomal RNA is filed under the name uncultured bacterium. RNAcentral's name for it is "partial 16S ribosomal RNA". It matches the Rfam family "Bacterial small subunit ribosomal RNA", at positions 524 to 776 of the family's 1533-position model. The record is from RNAcentral.
UACGUAGGGUGCAAGCGUUAUCCGGAUUCACUGGGUUUAAAGGGUGCGUAGGUGGGUUGGUAAGUCAGUGGUGAAAUCUCCGAGCUUAACUUGGAAACUGCCAUUGAUACUAUAGGUCUUGAAUUUUCUGGAGGUCAGCGGAAUAUGUCAUGUAGCGGUGAAAUGCUUAGAUAUGACAUAGAACACCAAUUGCGAAGGCAGCUGGCUACAGGGAUAUUGACACUGAGGCACGAAAGCGUGGGGAUCAAACAGG